UACGAAGGGUGCAAACGUUGCUCGGAAUUACUGGGCGUAAAGCGUGCGCAGGCGGUGAUGUAAGACAGGUGUGAAAUCCCCGGGCUUAACCUGGGAACUGCAUUUGUGACUGCAUCGCUGGAGUGCGGCAGAGGGGGAUGGAAUUCCGCGUGUAGCAGUGAAAUGCGUAGAUAUGCGGAGGAACACCGAUGGCGAAGGCAAUCCCCUGGGCCUGCACUGACGCUCAUGCACGAAAGCGUGGGGAGCAAACAGG
Molecule: ribosomal RNA, 253 nt
Filed under: uncultured bacterium
Lineage: Bacteria
Description: partial 16S ribosomal RNA
Rfam family: Bacterial small subunit ribosomal RNA
Source: RNAcentral